RNAcentral lists this ribosomal RNA (253 nucleotides) under uncultured bacterium. RNAcentral's name for it is "partial 16S ribosomal RNA". It matches the Rfam family "Bacterial small subunit ribosomal RNA", at positions 524 to 776 of the family's 1533-position model. The record is from RNAcentral.
UACGAAGGGGGCUAGCGUUGUUCGGAAUUACUGGGCGUAAAGCGCGCGCAGGUGGCUUAUCAAGUCAGGGGUGAAAGCCCGGAGCUCAACUCCGGAAUUGCCUUUGAAACUGAUGAGCUCGAGUACGGGAGAGGUGAGUGGAAUUCCCAGUGUAGAGGUGAAAUUCGUAGAUAUUGGGAAGAACACCGGUGGCGAAGGCGGCUCACUGGCCCGUUACUGACACUCAUGCGCGACAGCGUGGGGAUCAAACAGG